UGUUGAGACCGCUUCCGCCGGAAGUGGGGAGGAGUCAGCCGGGGAAGAGGACCCGCCUUCCCUAGAGCCACGGACCUAGGCUGCGGGCUGUCCCGGACCGGAAAGUUGAUGUUGUGGCCGCUCACUGGAGCCGAGGCAGGAGGCUUGCGAGUCCCAGGCCAGCCCGGCUGGGCAGCGAGACCCUGUUUCAUAACAGGGACAAACUCACCAACAAAACCCAUUAAAAAUAAACCCCUCUGGGGCUUUGGCUCAGUGGGCAGAGCCCCGCCCUGCGUGCAUGCAGCCCCUGUGGGAGUUCAAAGCCAGUCUGGGCUGCGUGAGACCCUCCGCUGUGUGAUUCUCAGACCGUCUCUGCCGCUCUCUGGGCCACAGGAGAGAGAGAAUGAAUGGGAACGUGGGGUUCGGGGGCAGAGCAAAGACCCCCGGACUCCCUGCCAAUAAUUCCUCGGCUUUGUUUCUGGGGUGCGUCUCCAGGGAUAGCACAGAGCAUCAGGUCCCCCGAACGGAGCGAGUCCCAUAUGUUACACAGAGGUGCCCAGAGAGAUAGAUGGAGAAGGAGAUACUGGGGUCACGAUCACAACCCGACCCUUGUGCCUGCUGGUGGUGGUCAUAGGCAGGACCAGGUCAUAGUGAUGGUGCCUGGGAACCCGGGUGAGGGCAGCAUGUGACUACGGGAACCUCGUGAUCCCGGCGGGGACCCCCAGGAAGGCUUCCCGGAGGAGGGAGCGCACAGGCGGGAGGGAGAGGCCGUCCUGGGGCUGCCCAGCUGAGCACGCUGGCCAGCGCAGCUUGUCUCCUCCCUCUGCUCACCCCAUCCCCCUGGGCGGGUGCCCCCCCAAACCUGAUCGGGUGUCACCCCGACUCUGCUGCUGGCAGCUCGCACCUGGAGCGAGUAACCAGAGAGGCUGUGGUGGACGGACGCAGGGCUCUGGUCUGCAGUCGCCUGAGGUCACUGGACCUGUGCUGCUGCAGUCACCUCUUCCAGGAGGCCUUCCCCACCUCCAGGCUGCGAUUCUCCUGACUGGAAACCCGUGGACCAGGCUCCUGGGUGUUACUCACCGUUGGGUGUGAUUGAACUUUAUAGUUGGGGGAGGAGAGCCCCCAGCCAGUGUGAUGAAGACCCUCCGGGCAAGGUUCAAGAAGACAGAGG
Long non-coding RNA from Onychomys torridus (southern grasshopper mouse), 1150 nucleotides. RefSeq lists it as uncharacterized. The record is from RefSeq and is a predicted model, not a curated record. NCBI's taxonomy places the organism in Eukaryota, Metazoa, Chordata, Mammalia, Rodentia, Cricetidae. The transcript has 4 exons.